RNAcentral lists this ribosomal RNA (910 nucleotides) under Curvularia ravenelii. RNAcentral's name for it is "LSU rRNA". It matches the Rfam family "Eukaryotic large subunit ribosomal RNA", at positions 35 to 963 of the family's 3401-position model. Lineage: Eukaryota; Fungi; Ascomycota; Dothideomycetes; Pleosporales; Pleosporaceae. The record is from RNAcentral.
UAAGCAUAUCAAUAAGCGGAGGAAAAGAAACCAACAGGGAUUGCCCUAGUAACGGCGAGUGAAGCGGCAACAGCUCAAAUUUGAAAUCUGGCUCUUUUAGGGUCCGAGUUGUAAUUUGCAGAGGGCGCUUUGGCUUUGGUAGCGGUCCAAGUUCCUUGGAACAGGACGUCACAGAGGGUGAGAAUCCCGUACGUGGUCGCUAGCUAUUGCCGUGUAAAGCCCCUUCGACGAGUCGAGUUGUUUGGGAAUGCAGCUCUAAAUGGGAGGUAAAUUUCUUCUAAAGCUAAAUAUUGGCCAGAGACCGAUAGCGCACAAGUAGAGUGAUCGAAAGAUGAAAAGCACUUUGGAAAGAGAGUCAAACAGCACGUGAAAUUGUUGAAAGGGAAGCGCUUGCAGCCAGACUUGCUUGCAGUUGCUCAUCCGGGCUUUUGCCCGGUGCACUCUUCUGUAGGCAGGCCAGCAUCAGUUUGGGCGGUGGGAUAAAGGUCUCUGACACGUUCCUUCCUUCGGGUUGGCCAUAUAGGGGAGACGUCAUACCACCAGCCUGGACUGAGGUCCGCGCAUCUGCUAGGAUGCUGGCGUAAUGGCUGUAAGCGGCCCGUCUUGAAACACGGACCAAGGAGUCUAACAUCUAUGCGAGUGUUUGGGUGUCAAGCCCGAGCGCGUAAUGAAAGUGAACGGAGGUGGGAACCCGCAAGGGCGCACCAUCGACCGAUCCUGAAGUUUACGGAAGGAUUUGAGUAAGAGCAUGGCUGUUGGGACCCGAAAGAUGGUGAACUAUGCUUGAAUAGGGUGAAGCCAGAGGAAACUCUGGUGGAGGCUCGCAGCGGUUCUGACGUGCAAAUCGAUCGUCAAAUUUGGGCAUAGGGGCGAAAGACUAAUCGAACUAUCUAGUAGCUGGUUCCUGCGA